AUGGCGAUCUCCACCGAUUCGCGCAGCGAGGAGAAGCCUUCGCAGCAUUCUCAGGUGGAGAAGCGGUGGGUGUUGUCUGACUUUGACGUUGGGAAGGCACUUGGGAGGGGCAAGUUUGGCCAUGUCUACUUGGCCAGAGAAAAGAGGAGUAGUCAUAUUGUGGCUUUGAAAGUUCUUUUCAAGAGCCAACUCAAACAAUCUCAGGUGGAGCAUCAGUUACGGCGCGAAGUAGAGAUACAGAGUCACCUUAGGCACCCCAAUAUUCUUCGCCUAUAUGGGUAUUUUUAUGAUCAGACCCGUGUUUACCUAAUCUUGGAGCAUGCCGCAAAAGGAGAGCUGUACAAGGAGUUGCAGAGAUGCAAGCAUUUUUCUGAAAGACGCUCGGCAACUUACAUUGCAUCAUUGGCCCGUGCCCUCAUCUAUCUUCACGGGAAGCACGUGAUACAUCGAGAUAUUAAACCGGAAAACCUUUUAGUUGGAGUACAGGGAGAGCUGAAGAUUGCAGACUUUGGCUGGUCUGUUCAUACCUUCAACCGAAGAAGGACAAUGUGUGGGACUUUAGAUUAUCUGCCUCCUGAAAUGGUGGAGAAGACAGAGCACGAUUACCAUGUAGACAUAUGGAGCUUGGGCAUCCUAUGUUAUGAAUUCCUUUAUGGGCUCCCACCUUUUGAAGCCAAAGAACACUCCGAGACAUAUCGAAGGAUAGUAAAAGUGGACCUGAAGUUCCCGUUGAAACCGUUUGUGUCUCCUGCUGCGAAGGACCUCAUCUCACAGAUGCUGGUGAAGAAUUCAGCGCAUCGCCUGCCCCUCCAUAAGGUUCUGGAGCACCCCUGGAUCGUCCAAAACGCCGACCCCUCAGGCGUGUACAGGGGGUAG
Molecule: ribosomal RNA, 876 nt
Filed under: Triticum aestivum (bread wheat)
Lineage: Eukaryota; Viridiplantae; Streptophyta; Magnoliopsida; Poales; Poaceae
Description: partial small subunit ribosomal RNA
Source: RNAcentral